CCUACGGGUGGCAGCAGUGGGGGAUAUUGCACAAUGGAGGAAACUCUGAUGCAGCGACGCCGCGUGAGGGAAGACGGUCUUCGGAUUGUAAACCUCUGUCUUUGGGGAAGAAAAUGACGGUACCCAAAGAGGAAGCUCCGGCUAACUACGUGCCAGCAGCCGCGGUAAUACGUAGGGAGCGAGCGUUGUCCGGAAUUACUGGGUGUAAAGGGAGGGUAGGCGGGCGAGAAAGUUGUAUGGUAAGUCUACCGGCUAAACUGGUAGCUGCGUUUAACACUUGUUGUCUUGAGUGUAGUAGAGGCAGGCGGAAUUCGUAGUGUAGCGGUGAAAUGCGUAGAUAUUAGGAAGAACACCAAUGGCGAAGGCAGCCUGCUGGGCUUUAACUGACGCUGAGGCUCGAAAGCGUGGGGAGCAAACAGGAUUAGAUACCCCGGUAGUC
RNAcentral lists this ribosomal RNA (439 nucleotides) under uncultured bacterium. Its description in RNAcentral is "partial 16S ribosomal RNA". It matches the Rfam family "Bacterial small subunit ribosomal RNA", at positions 338 to 795 of the family's 1533-position model. The record is from RNAcentral.